UACGUAGGUGGCAAGCGUUGUCCGGAAUUAUUGGGCGUAAGGCGCGCGCAGGCGGUUAUGUAAGUCUGCUGUUAAAGCCCCGGGCUCAACCUCGGUUCGCAUUGGAAACUGUUUAACCUGGGUGCAGAAGAGGAAAUUGGUAUUCCACGUGUAGCGGUGAAAUGCGUAGAUAUGAGGAGGAACUCCAGUGGCGAAGGCGCCUUUCUGGUCUGUAGCUGCCGCUGAGGCGUGAAAGCGUGGGCAGGAAACAGG
Molecule: ribosomal RNA, 252 nt
Filed under: uncultured bacterium
Lineage: Bacteria
Description: partial 16S ribosomal RNA
Rfam family: Bacterial small subunit ribosomal RNA
Source: RNAcentral